UACGUAGGGGGCAAGCGUUAUCCGGAAUUACUGGGCGUAAAGGGUGCGUAGGCGGUUUAUCAAGUCAGGGGUGAAAGGCUACGGCUCAACCGUAGUAAGCCUCUGAAACUGGUGAACUUGAGUGUAGGAGAGGAAAGUGGAAUUCCCAGUGUAGCGGUGAAAUGCGUAGAUAUUGGGAGGAACACCAGUGGCGAAGGCGACUUUCUGGACUAUAACUGACGCUGAGGCAC
RNAcentral lists this ribosomal RNA (230 nucleotides) under uncultured microorganism. Its description in RNAcentral is "partial 16S ribosomal RNA". It matches the Rfam family "Bacterial small subunit ribosomal RNA", at positions 524 to 754 of the family's 1533-position model. The record is from RNAcentral.